GACACCGCAACAGUUUGUCUGGCUCCACCUCAGCUUCACCGGUAAGCUGAAGCUGAAUCACGCGUAUAAACAUUGUAUAUAUAAGACUUCUCCGGUUAUAUACAUAAAUACAAGUUGAUCUUAUUAUAGUGCCAGUAUAUGGAUUGAUGAUUUUUUUUUUAUUCAGUGAAAGUGGCUGCUGGUUAUCGUACAGAAAACAUCAACAAUGUAGUCAGCGUUUCCGUUACCGAGCCCAUUAUAUUAAUGUGGAUGUUGCUCGGACACAAUCCAACCCCCAGAGGACAAAAUUUACAAUACCACACAAAUGAGGAUGCGUAAUGGGGAAGAAGCCCUUUGUGAGGUCACGAGAGCCAGUCAUGGCCGCCUUGAUUAUCUGCACUGCUCUGUCAUCCGGCGUAAGCGCGCUCGUGAAAAAAGACGAUAUAGAAUCGAGUUUAAACGUAAUCCAGGAAGUUUCCGCGCAAAGUCUCGGCUCGUUGUGCGUAACGGAGCAGUUUCGCUCCCUGACGGUGCCCAUUGACACUUUGAGGUUCGAAUCGGCCCGCCAAAAGGCGGAUUUGGCCGCUACGCUGUUGCAAGAUCUCGGCGUCGCUCAUCACAAUGGUCUUCAAGAUGCCAUUUCGAAAAAUAUCCUGGUGUCAGAUCCGGCGGUCUUGGCGGCCCGUGUGUUGGCGAUAAACGCCACCAACGGCCAGUUAAUUAAUUGCGCGUGGUGGCAGAAGCAGGGCCUGGAAAUGGGGGGCCCCAAGAAGGUGCCGGAGACAGUUAUGGAGGCGGGGCGUCGGCCCAGCGCUGACUAUCCAUGGUACGAAGACGCAGACUCAAGUCCCGGUCUUCGCUCGCCAAAAUUCAUCGAGAGCCCCCCCAACGUGUCUUACCGCGGAUGGUGGACUUACCCUUACUACUCCUGCUCCGCCAGGAGAUGGUUGAUGUCCUAUAGCGUCCCUAUACCACCUCCGGGAAGACGAGGAUUAAAAGGGUUUCUGAGCCUGGACGUAGACAUCUCCCAUCUGCAAGUAGACCAGUGCGAAAGUGGCCCUUUGACGCCCACUAACGCACUGUCCAUAUUCCACGGGUCGCAUAAGUGUCAUAAUUUGACAACUGAAUGCAUUUUUAAGUCUGCAGCUCAAGUGCCCUCAUGGUCCAGGGGUCGGUACGAAUGUCGUUGUCGCGACGGGUACUUCUCUACGCACCACGGAGGGGUUUUUAAUGGGACUUUGGUUGAAGUUGCAUGGGAAGAACAUGUUGAAAACUCAAGUGACACAUGGGAAACGAUCUUCCAAUGUCAGGCAUGCGCGCCAGGUUGUCAUUUUUGCACUGACCCAUCGCCAUGUUUGGCAACGUUUCAUUGGCCCUUUAGGAUUACUUUGCUCUCUAUCAGUAUUUUUUGUGUUUUUUGCACUUUGGUGUUGAACUGUUUCAUGUUUAAGCAUCGCAAACUGAAGGUGUUUAAGGUGGCCAGCCCGAUAUUUCUCAGUAUUACCCUUUUGGGAUGCGCUUUUAUGUACCUGGAGAUGGGUGCCAUAUUUCCGGUUUUGGACACCUACUUUUGUAUAGCGACCAAAUGGACCAGACAUUUGGGAUUUUGCGUCACUUAUACCGCACUACUUAUGAAAACAUGGAGGGUUUCCCUUACCUACCGGGUAAAAUCAGCCCACAAAGUAAAACUAACAGACAAACAGCUCCUCCAAUGGAUGGUUCCGAUUUUACUCAUAAUGCUCAUUUACUUGGGCACUUGGACCCUAUCCGACACCCCCACAGCGGAAGAAAUAAUGGACAAUAAGGGACUCAGGUUUAAGCAAUGCGUCUAUAAUUGGUGGGAUCACAGUUUGGCUAUAGGGGAAGUUUUAUUCUUGGCAUGGGGCAUACGGGUGUGUUAUAACGUGAGAAAUGCCGAGUCUUUGUAUAAUGAGGCGAGGCUCAUCAGUUAUGCCAUCUAUAAUAUUGCCAUCGUGAACAUUUUAAUGAUAGCCUUUCAUUUAUUCAUUUUCCCGAGGGCAGGACCAGAUAUAAAGUACUUUUUGGGGUUCGUACGCACUCAGUUGUCUACCACUACGACCAUUGCUCUUGUGUUUGGGCCAAAGAUUAUUAGGGUGUUAAGCGGCCAGGGUGACCAAUGGGACAACAGGGCGCGGUCACGUGGCGUCACAGCCUCGUUUUCCCUAAACGGCAUCGGACUGGUACCGGAAGACACGCCCGAUCUAUUCCAGGAGAACGAGGAACUCAAAGAGGAAAUUCAAAAAUUGGCCGCGCAAAUCGAGUUCAUGAAAAUCGUCCAUAUGGAAAUCAACAAUCGGCACGUAAAACCGAAGGCGGGCGGCUACUUUACCACGUUGAACACCCCGUUGGCGGUGCAGAGCCCCCUGGCGAAACAAUUGGGCGGCAAACCGGGGGAGGAACUGUGACAUAAGGAGGCGGCCCCUGGGGGCGAGGGAGACCCGGGGGCGGUAAGCGCCUCGAGACGGCGCAGCUGCAAAGAAUGGCUCCGGAUGGAGUUCGUACUGAAACAAACUGGGGAGAGUGUCGUGGUGGUUUAGACGGGGUUGUUGCCGGUUUAUUUAUUGUGACAUUCUGGCAACACUGCCGUAAUUGUUUUUUCGUUGUAUUCAAUUAGUUUGUGAAACUCAUCUGUAUGUGUGAUAUUUUAUUGGUGGAGGAAUCACUGGAGACCCUGUAGCGUGGUAAAGAAUGGUCUGUCCGACUUAUUAAGUGUACCAAAGCUCACUUUAGGUAACCAGAAAUCAAACUGUUCUUUUUUUUUUUUUUAAUAAAUGUUGACAAUAAAGGAGGAAAUGUUCAAAAAAACUGAAUUAAACGUGCCCUUCUCGACUUCAAUUUUGCUUCUAGGUACAAAAGAUUGUGACAAACCUGUCAAUUAUAAUAACUAUUUUUUCAUUAGCUUUUCUAAUUUACCCUCUAUAUAUUUAUAUAUGUAUGUAUAAAUGAUGUUUCUUGUAAUAUCUCGGUCCUCAUUCCAAAAUAACUCGCAGGAAAACCAUAAAAUCGAUGUUAAAGUAUACGCAUAGUAGCAGAAUUAUAUAAAUGUGUUAAAUAUAUGUAUAUCUAUGUAAUAUUUUCAAGAUGAAACUCACCGCAAUUGAAUGUACUACAUAUAUUAUAUGGAAAUGUUUGUUCAUA
This 3138-nucleotide unclassified non-coding RNA is filed under the name Anthonomus grandis grandis. RNAcentral's name for it is "probable G-protein coupled receptor CG31760". Lineage: Eukaryota; Metazoa; Arthropoda; Insecta; Coleoptera; Curculionidae. The record is from RNAcentral.